UAAAGCAGUUUGGAAUUAAGUCUGCUUUAGUUGUUAAAAUAACAGUAAUACAGUGGUACCUCAGGUUACAUGCGCUUCAGGUUACAGACUCUGCUAACCCAGAAAUAGUACCUUGGGUUAAGAAUUUUGCUUCAGGAUGAGAACAGAAAUCGUGCUCCGGCGGCAUGGCAGCAGCAGGAGGCCCCAUUAGCUAAAGUGGUGCUUCAGGUUAAGAACGGACCUCCAGAAUGAAUUAAGUUCUUAACCCGAGGUACGACUGCACUGGGAAAACCAUAGCUUUAAUUAUACGGACCUUUGUGGGCAAGGUGCUUACUCAGAAGUAAACCCUCAGCGUGCAAAAGGAAGCAAGGCUGACUUCUGUGUGGCUGUGCUCGGGACGGCAGCCUCCAUUUCUCUCCAACGGUAAAUGAAAAGACUCUGGCCUGGGGGGUGGCGGGGAGAAGCGCGGUGGUUUACGCAGGGAAGUCGUCGCUUGAUGUCGCCACCGCUUUAACAGGGAGGAGCUGGAGUUCUUGCCUCCUGUUCAAAAGGACCAAACGCUGCCAUCAAAUGGCUUAAAUGAUUUCAUUUUUGGAAACUGGACUGGUAUCACAAAGCCGACACCAAAUAAAGAUAUCUGAUAUCCCUUUUUUUUAAAAAAAGAAAAA
This is a long non-coding RNA of Podarcis raffonei (Aeolian wall lizard), 647 nucleotides long. RefSeq lists it as uncharacterized. The record is from RefSeq and is a predicted model, not a curated record. The transcript has 2 exons. Lineage: Eukaryota; Metazoa; Chordata; Lepidosauria; Squamata; Lacertidae.